GCCAUGCCGCGUGCGGGAAGAAGGCCUCGGUUGUAACGCUUGUCAGGAGAACGACUUUGAGCUAAUACCUCGAGGUAAUGACGGUACCUGAAGAAUAAGACACCGGCUAACUCUGUGCCAGCAGCCGCGGUAAUACAGAGGUCUCAAGCGUUGUUCGGAAUCACUGGGCGUAAAGGGUGCGUAGGUGGCGUGGUAAGUCAGAUGUGAAAGCCCGGGGCUCAACCUCGGAAUUGCAUCCGAUACUGCCAUGCUCGAGUACUGAAGAGGUGACUAGAAUUCUAGGUGUAGCAGUGAAAUGCGUAGAUAUCUAGAGGAAUACCAAAAGGCGAAGGCAGGUCACUGGGCAGUUACUGACACUGAGGCACGAAGGGCCAGGGGAGGCGAACGGGAUUAGAUACCCCGGUAGUCCUGGCAGUAAACGGUGCACG
Molecule: ribosomal RNA, 428 nt
Filed under: uncultured bacterium
Lineage: Bacteria
Description: bacterial SSU rRNA
Rfam family: Bacterial small subunit ribosomal RNA
Source: RNAcentral